This 253-nucleotide ribosomal RNA is filed under the name uncultured bacterium. RNAcentral describes it as "partial 16S ribosomal RNA". It matches the Rfam family "Bacterial small subunit ribosomal RNA", at positions 524 to 776 of the family's 1533-position model. The record is from RNAcentral.
UACGUAGGUGGCGAGCGUUGUCCGGAUUUACUGGGCGUAAAGAGCGCGCAGGCGGCUGGUCAAGUCCGAUGUGAAAGCUCCCGGCUUAACUGGGAAAUUGCAUCGGAAACUGAUCGGCUGGAAGGUGGGAGAGGGUAGCGGAAUUCCCGGUGUAGUGGUGAAAUGCGUAGAUAUCGGGAGGAACACCAGUGGCGAAAGCGGCAGACUGGACCCUUCCUGACGCUGAUGCGCGAAAGCUAGGGGAGCAAACGGG